RNAcentral lists this long non-coding RNA (199 nucleotides) under Ananas comosus (pineapple). Its description in RNAcentral is "long non-coding RNA (ACOM_LNC034411)". The record is from RNAcentral. Lineage: Eukaryota; Viridiplantae; Streptophyta; Magnoliopsida; Poales; Bromeliaceae.
AAGUAAUCCACAAGUAAAAACAAGUGAAAUAAAGAGAGUACUUUACUAACUAUUACAAUAGUUCAUUCUUUUCAUUUACAUCAUUUUCUUUAAAUGCUUACAUAAUUCAUCCAAAAAUACAUAGUUCUCCCAAUCCUCACCUAUAAUGAAUCUCUCUCAAUGCAUAGGUGUGCUAAUGCAAAAAGGAAAGCUACUGUAC